AGUUCUGAUUAUUGAAAGGUGCUUGCAUCUUGAUUUAAUUUUGAACGAGUGGCGGACGGGUGAGUAACACGUGGGUAACCUGCCCUUAAGUGGGGGAUAACAUUUGGAAACAGAUGCUAAUACCGCAUAAAUCCAAGAACCGCAUGGUUCUUGGCUGAAAGAUGGCGUAAGCUAUCGCUUUUGGAUGGACCCGCGGCGUAUUAGCUAGUUGGUGAGGUAACGGCUCACCAAGGCAAUGAUACGUAGCCGAACUGAGAGGUUGAUCGGCCACAUUGGGACUGAGACACGGCCCAAACUCCUACGGGAGGCAGCAGUAGGGAAUCUUCCACAAUGGACGCAAGUCUGAUGGAGCAACGCCGCGUGAGUGAAGAAGGCUUUCGGGUCGUAAAACUCUGUUGUUGGAGAAGAAUGGUCGGCAGAGUAACUGUUGUCGGCGUGACGGUAUCCAACCAGAAAGCCACGGCUAACUACGUGCCAGCAGCCGCGGUAAUACGUAGGUGGCAAGCGUUAUCCGGAUUUAUUGGGCGUAAAGCGAGCGCAGGCGGUUUUUUAAGUCUGAUGUGAAAGCCCUCGGCUUAACCGAGGAAGUGCAUCGGAAACUGGGAAACUUGAGUGCAGAAGAGGACAGUGGAACUCCAUGUGUAGCGGUGAAAUGCGUAGAUAUAUGGAAGAACACCAGUGGCGAAGGCGGCUGUCUGGUCUGUAACUGACGCUGAGGCUCGAAAGCAUGGGUAGCGAACAGGAUUAGAUACCCUGGUAGUCCAUGCCGUAAACGAUGAAUGCUAGGUGUUGGAGGGUUUCCGCCCUUCAGUGCCGCAGCUAACGCAUUAAGCAUUCCGCCUGGGGAGUACGACCGCAAGGUUGAAACUCAAAGGAAUUGACGGGGGCCCGCACAAGCGGUGGAGCAUGUGGUUUAAUUCGAAGCAACGCGAAGAACCUUACCAGGUCUUGACAUCUUUUGAUCACCUGAGAGAUCAGGUUUCCCCUUCGGGGGCAAAAUGACAGGUGGUGCAUGGUUGUCGUCAGCUCGUGUCGUGAGAUGUUGGGUUAAGUCCCGCAACGAGCGCAACCCUUAUGACUAGUUGCCAGCAUUUAGUUGGGCACUCUAGUAAGACUGCCGGUGACAAACCGGAGGAAGGUGGGGAUGACGUCAAAUCAUCAUGCCCCUUAUGACCUGGGCUACACACGUGCUACAAUGGAUGGUACAACGAGUUGCGAGACCGCGAGGUCAAGCUAAUCUCUUAAAGCCAUUCUCAGUUCGGACUGUAGGCUGCAACUCGCCUACACGAAGUCGGAAUCGCUAGUAAUCGCGGAUCAGCACGCCGCGGUGAAUACGUUCCCGGGCCUUGUACACACCGCCCGUCACACCAUGAGAGUUUGUAACACCCGAAGCCGGUGGCGUAACCC
Molecule: ribosomal RNA, 1407 nt
Filed under: Lacticaseibacillus rhamnosus
Lineage: Bacteria; Bacillati; Bacillota; Bacilli; Lactobacillales; Lactobacillaceae
Description: bacterial SSU rRNA
Rfam family: Bacterial small subunit ribosomal RNA
Source: RNAcentral